CGAACGCUGGCGGCGUGCUUAACACAUGCAAGUCGAACGAGAAACCACCUUCGGGUGGGAUUAGAGUGGCGCACGGGUGAGUAACACGUGAAUAAUCUACCUCCAAGCUUGGGAUAACCAUUCGAAAGGAUGGCUAAUACCGAAUAAGCUCACGCCUUCCUUGGAAGAAGUGAGAAAAGGUGGCCUCUGUUUAUGCUAUCACUUGGAGAUGAGUUCGCGGCCCAUUAGCUUGUUGGUGAGGUAAAAGCUCACCAAGGCUACGAUGGGUAGCUGGUCUUAGAGGAUGAUCAGCCACACUGGAACUGAGACACGGUCCAGACUCCUACGGGAGGCAGCAGUGGGGAAUAUUGCACAAUGGAGGAAACUCUGAUGCAGCAACGCCGCGUGGGUGAAGAAGGCUUUCGAGUCGUAAAGCCCUGUUCUGGGGGACGAGGUCUUAUCGGUUAAUACCCGGUAAGGACGACGGUACCCCAGCAGAAAGCACCGGCUAACUCCGUGCCAGCAGCCGCGGUAAU
This 515-nucleotide ribosomal RNA is filed under the name uncultured bacterium. RNAcentral's name for it is "bacterial SSU rRNA". It matches the Rfam family "Bacterial small subunit ribosomal RNA", at positions 30 to 524 of the family's 1533-position model. The record is from RNAcentral.